CCAAACCCAAGUAGCGGCGCCCAGCUACUGUUAUUCUUCUCCAACCAGUGAUUCAACCCCAACUUGCCUGAAAACUCAGGCGAGUUCACUCACACGCACCUUAUCUCACCACGUCAGCAAGAUUCUAACGGCCUCUGACAAACAAGAAGGUUCCUUCCGAAUUUUUCACUUGCUCUUUAGCUCUUGAGCGAUAUUUUGGACGAAUGGGAGCCGUGAAUGGACGAAAAUCAAUCCAUGCCCUCCAUUUGUCCCUAAAUCGUUCACGAAAGAUUGAAAGAAUUUUCAAAUUUUUAGAGGAAGGUUCGAGAAAAUCUUAAGGUCUACAUAAGGUGAGGACGUUUUCUUAUGUGGUGGGGGGGGGGGGGUGAUUUUUGGAGAAAAUUUGUAGAAGUUCUUUUUUCAGAGAAUUGUUUCGGAAAAAUUGAAAGAAAAAAAAAUUAGGUUUCAAAAUAUUCUUCUUCUUCUAAGGUUCUUUUUCGUUUCUGGUCUUGGGGAGGGAAAAAAUUUCGAAGAAGAAAAUAGGAAGAAAGAAUUAUGUCUUGGUUUUUUUUCUUCAGAUUUUGUUCUUCUUUUUGAGUUUGUUUUCUGAUUAGUCAUAUUAAAAAAAAUACACAAAAAAGGAGUGAUUUUUUUGGUUCUACUGUUGUUUUUAAAAAAAGGGUCUGUUUUUUCCGUUUUCAUUUUUUUUGGAUUCUGUUUGGAAUUAUUGGAGUUCGAUCGAAUUUACUUUGGUUUCGAGUUUUUCUGGUGCUGUUUGGAGAUUUGUUCGAGUUUCAAGCACUCUUCGUUUCUCUUUGUUGCGCGUAAGUCUUGCGCGAAUUCCAGUUCGGAUGUCAUCUUCUCGUUGUAGUUCCGGCCCGACACGUUAAUUUGUUGAAGUUUUGUUGUUCAAAUAAAAGAUUACACUUUAACUUUACUUUUUGUUUCCCGAUUUUUUCCGGAUUUAUGUCACAAACGUUUGUAUAAUAUGUUUGAUGGUCUUUGUUUCUGAUAUACGAUUAUGUGACUGCCUUUUUUUGGUUGAAUGGAUAAGUUUAUUUCAUUCAUGUAUGAACAUUUGAGCAUUGAAAGGCUGAAGUUAUGUGUUCAGUAAAAAAUACUAUGGUUUUCUGAUUUUUCUUUAAUGAUGGAUCAUACUAUUGUUUCUGAGUUAGGGUUUUGAUUUUAAUGGGUAUAAUUGAUUUACCUUGGAGUCACAUAUUUGAUCCUUCCCUUCUAAGUAAGUAGCACCCUUUUGUGACCCUUCUGUAUUGGAGAUCUGCAAAAUAGCCUUUAAACUGAUAAGUAUAUGGUAGUUAGCUUCUAGUGACUUCUGGGACUUUGUUUAACCCUUUGAGCUGAGUCUAUAUCAUGAUGAUUGUGUUUUCCCUUAAAGUUUGCUGGAGUAAAAUAGUGGGAAGUAGUUUGGUUUUCAAAUUUGGCAUCAAUAUUAACAUCUCUCUGAAUUCAUUUAGUCAUCCCUUGACCUCGCGUUAGAAGAAAAUUUCUGACCAAAGAAAUAGGGAAAGAAAUCUGAAGUUCUGAUUUUGUAGUUCUAUUAGUAAGAUAAUAUUUUGCUAAUUAUUUUCUCAUUCUGAUUCCAAGUAUUUGCUAAGGGUUGAUAUAUUUGGAUAGUGUAGUUUCCCUUGGUUCAGGUGUAACCUCUCCGUUGUCUUCAUGUAAUAAUUGGCAAGUUACAGCUGACACAAUAAGGACAAUUGAAUGAAUUUAGCGCAUAUUAAAACGUUUGUUGAUGGCAUGAAUUUAGCCCAUGUACAGAUUUUAUGGGCUUGGACAUCAAUUUUCUCUGCUG
This 1792-nucleotide long non-coding RNA is filed under the name Nicotiana tabacum (common tobacco). RNAcentral's name for it is "long non-coding RNA (NTAB_LNC016846)". Lineage: Eukaryota; Viridiplantae; Streptophyta; Magnoliopsida; Solanales; Solanaceae. The record is from RNAcentral.